Molecule: long non-coding RNA, 1449 nt
Filed under: Prunus persica (peach)
Lineage: Eukaryota; Viridiplantae; Streptophyta; Magnoliopsida; Rosales; Rosaceae
Description: long non-coding RNA (PPER_LNC006725)
Source: RNAcentral
UACCUAAUUACCUAAUUACCUAAUUGCAUAGUAGGUAGCAUGAUGCAGAUGCAGCCACAUGGGAUGGGAGAAGAUGGCCAAAUGGGACGGUAGAGUCCCAAGUUGCAAGUGCAAAUAGACUAAACACUGUCAGUGGUCCCCCAGAUCAGCAGCACCACAUGAUAAGGACAGUAGCAUUACUUAUCAGACUUAAUCACGGACGGGCCACAUAGAAAUCUGGAGCUCUAGCGUACGUAUUGAUCUGCAUAGUUACAUAUCAUUUGUAUUUGGUCGGGUAACCCAACCCAAUUCACAUCACGUGCUAACACGUGUGAGCCCAUUUUCAAAGUUUAUGCAUUCAUUGGACUCGGCCAUAGUGGCCCAGUCACCCAACUGAAAUAUUUUAUAGUACCUAUAAUCAGUUCAGUACUGCCGUUUGUUUUCUCUCCUCUCUCUUUUUUUUCUUUUUUCUUUUUUUUUUUUUGGGUCAACUGAAAGUUCAUUCUUUACUUGCUGUUAUAUAUUACUAGUCUCUCUGCACGCGCUUCCGCGCUUGUGAGAGGCAUUUUUUAAAAAAAAUUUUAAAAUUUUUUUAGAAUUAAAAAGUGUUCCAUAAAAAUAGGAUCCAUUAUUUUUUAUUUAAUUUUAAUUUUUUAUAAAAAGUGUGAAUUUACCAUAUUAUCCUCAUUUAAUUAAUAAGUUUAGUUCUUAAUGUUUGCAUUAACCAAGGAUAUUUUCUGGUAUUUUGAAUGUUUCACCAUUCUCUGCCUUUUGCUUUAUAUAUAUAGAUAUACACACAAAUUGAAAUGGGCACAUGCAUGCGCAUUUGAUAAAAAGAAGCCAAGUCAGAGAAAGCAUGAAUCAAAGCACAUGUUAAUUUUGUUUUAGAGUUAGAUGGAUCCAAAUAGGCAUGGUUUUAGCUAAUUUUAUUUAAAUGAAUUCGAAAACCAAACAGAAAACUUUACGUGACUCUUUUUCUUUUUUUUUUAGGAUUUUUUCUAUUGAGAGGGGCGAUAGCAUACUAAACUCACACACACUACACAGAUACUAGGAUUCGAACCCAAAACCUUGCAUGAGAUAAUAAAUACUUCAUAUCACUACACUAGUGGGUCAUUUGCACAUGACCUGUUAUAUUAUACUAGAAUGAAUCAAAGGCAUGGACCAUGGAACAAGUACAAGUACAUGGGCGGCCUUAGAGAAAAGAUGCUUUUUCAUAUUCCAAACUGAAGAAAACUUCACAUGACCAUUGACCUGGCUUGUAGAAUAAGCAGUGCUCAAGUACAUGGGCGGCCUUAUACGUAUAUUGUUAAUGUUGUAGUAAAUGAAUGUACAGCGAAGCUUUGAGAGCAAGUUUCCUCCCGUCCUUGUUUGACUAUGAGUUCAAUAUAGUGAAAAAUCAAUUCAAACCAAACAAAGCGUUAGACAAAUUAAUGUUCAAUAAUUUGUCGUAUAUUUGACUUUCAUUUUCAU